GACGAACGCUGGCGGCGUGCCUAAUACAUGCCAGUAGAACGCUGAAGCUUGGUGCUUGCACCGAGCGGAUGAGUUGCGAACGGGUGAGUAACGCGUAGGUAACCUGCCUGGUAGCGGGGGAUAACUAUUGGAAACGAUAGCUAAUACCGCAUAACAGUAGAUAUCGCAUGAUAGCUACUUGAAAGGUGCAAAUGCACCACUACCAGAUGGACCUGCGUUGUAUUAGCUAGUUGGUGAGGUAACGGCUCACCAAGGCAACGAUACAUAGCCGACCUGAGAGGGUGAUCGGCCACACUGGGACUGAGACACGGCCCAGACUCCUACGGGAGGCAGCAGUAGGGGAUCUUCGGCAAUGGACGGAAGUCUGACCGAGCAACGCCGCGUGAGUGAAGAAGGUUUUCGGAUCGUAAAGCUCUGUUGUAAGAGAAGAACGAGUGUGAGAGUGGAAAGUUCACACUGUGACGGUAUCUUACCAGAAAGGGACGGCUAACUACGUG
RNAcentral lists this ribosomal RNA (497 nucleotides) under uncultured bacterium. RNAcentral's name for it is "partial 16S ribosomal RNA". It matches the Rfam family "Bacterial small subunit ribosomal RNA", at positions 28 to 507 of the family's 1533-position model. The record is from RNAcentral.